CACGUAGGGUGCGAGCGUUGUCCGGAAUUAUUGGGCGUAAAGAGCUCGUAGGCGGUGUGUCGCGUCGGCCGUGAAAACCUGCAGCUUAACUGUGGGCUUGCGGUCGAUACGGGCAUCACUGGAGUUCGGCAGGGGAGACUGGAAUUCCUGGUGUAGCGGUGAAAUGCGCAGAUAUCAGGAGGAACACCGAUAGCGAAGGCAGCUCGCUGGGACGGUACUGACGCUGAGGCGCGAAAGCGUGGGGAGCGAACAGG
Molecule: ribosomal RNA, 254 nt
Filed under: uncultured bacterium
Lineage: Bacteria
Description: partial 16S ribosomal RNA
Rfam family: Bacterial small subunit ribosomal RNA
Source: RNAcentral